This 289-nucleotide unclassified non-coding RNA is filed under the name uncultured fungus. Its description in RNAcentral is "partial contains small subunit ribosomal RNA, internal transcribed spacer 1, and 5.8S ribosomal RNA". The stretch from base 1 to 73 matches the Rfam family "Eukaryotic small subunit ribosomal RNA", at positions 1759 to 1831 of the family's 1831-position model. Lineage: Eukaryota; Fungi. The record is from RNAcentral.
ACAAACUUGGUCAUUUAGAGGAAGUAAAAGUCGUAACAAGGUUUCCGUAGGUGAACCUGCGGAAGGAUCAUUAAAGAUGUAAGAGUGCGAGCGCACUCUCACUCUCCUUCACACACAUGUGGACUGUCUUGAGUGCUGGCGGGAAAUUCGCCGCAAGGCAAAGGUCCCCUUGCACCUCUCCUUUUUUCCAUACGCCACAGUUCUUGAAUGGCUCGCCGCAUGGCGAUUAAAAUUGAAUACAACUUUCAGCAACGGAUCUCUAGGCUCUCGCAUCGAUGAAGAACGCAGC